UACGUAGGGGGCGAGCGUUGUCCGGAAUUAUUGGGCCUAAAGCAUCCGUAGCCGGUUCUACAAGUCUUCCGUUAAAUCCACCUGCUUAACAGAUGGGCUGCGGAGGAUACUAUGGAGCUAGGAGGCGGGAGAGGCAAGCGGUACUUAGUGGGUAGGGGUAAAAUCCGUUGAUCCAUUGAAGACCACCAGUGGCGAAGGCGGCUUGCCAGAACGCACUCGACAGUGAGGGAUGAAAGCUGGGGGAGCAAACCGG
This 253-nucleotide ribosomal RNA is filed under the name uncultured bacterium. RNAcentral describes it as "partial 16S ribosomal RNA". It matches the Rfam family "Bacterial small subunit ribosomal RNA", at positions 524 to 776 of the family's 1533-position model. The record is from RNAcentral.